Molecule: ribosomal RNA, 497 nt
Filed under: uncultured bacterium
Lineage: Bacteria
Description: partial 16S ribosomal RNA
Rfam family: Bacterial small subunit ribosomal RNA
Source: RNAcentral
GAUGAACGCUGGCGGCGUGCCUAACACAUGCAAGUCGAGCGGAAAGACGAUGAGCUUGUGCCUUUCCCGUUAGCGGCGGGCGGGUGAGUAACGCGUGGAUCACCUUCUUAUCUUUCGGGGAUCAUCACGGAAAUCCGGCUCCAAUACCAGAGAAUAUAUUGCACCGCAUGGUGCAAUGGAUAGAGACGGCUUUUGUGUCUGUUAUAGCUGGUUCCGGGCCGGAUUAGCUAGUUGGUAAGGUCACGGCCUACCAAGGCUACGAUGCGUAGCCGACCGGAGAGGCUGAUCGGCCACACUGGAACUGAGACACGGUCCAGACUACUACGGGAGGCAGCAGUAGGGAAUCUUCGGCAACGGGCGAAAGCCUGACGCAGCAAUGCCGCGUGAGUGAAGAAGGCCUUCGGAUCGUAAAGCCCUGUUGUUGGGGAAGAACAGCUGUGGAAGUAAACAUGGACGUCUUGACGGUACCUAAUCAAAAAGCAACGGCUAACUACGUG